UGUAGGCUGAAACUCGCCUACAUGAAGCUGGAAUUGCUAGUAAUCACAGGUCAGCAUACUGUGGUGAAUACGUUCCCGGGCCUUGUACACACCGCCCGUCACACCAUGAGAGUUGAGAAUACCCGAAGCCCAUGUCAAAGUGGUCGAAGGUAGGCUUGAUGAUUGGGGUGAAGUCGUAACAAGGUAGC
Molecule: ribosomal RNA, 188 nt
Filed under: uncultured bacterium
Lineage: Bacteria
Description: partial 16S ribosomal RNA
Rfam family: Bacterial small subunit ribosomal RNA
Source: RNAcentral